RNAcentral lists this ribosomal RNA (1531 nucleotides) under Salmonella enterica subsp. enterica serovar Anatum. RNAcentral describes it as "partial 23S ribosomal RNA". It matches the Rfam family "Bacterial large subunit ribosomal RNA", at positions 711 to 2141 of the family's 2925-position model. The record is from RNAcentral. Lineage: Bacteria; Pseudomonadati; Pseudomonadota; Gammaproteobacteria; Enterobacterales; Enterobacteriaceae.
AGACCCGAAACCCGGUGAUCUAGCCAUGGGCAGGUUGAAGGUUGGGUAACACUAACUGGAGGACCGAACCGACUAAUGUUGAAAAAUUAGCGGAUGACCUGUGGCUGGGGGUGAAAGGCCAAUCAAACCGGGAGAUAGCUGGUUCUCCCCGAAAGCUAUUUAGGUAGCGCCUCGUGAAUUCAUCUCCGGGGGUAGAGCACUGUUUCGGCUAGGGGGCCAUCCCGGCUUACCAACCCGAUGCAAACUGCGAAUACCGGAGAAUGUUAUCACGGGAGACACACGGCGGGUGCUAACGUCCGUCGUGAAGAGGGAAACAACCCAGACCGCCAGCUAAGGUCCCAAAGUCAUGGUUAAGUGGGAAACGAUGUGGGAAGGCCCAGACAGCCAGGAUGUUGGCUUAGAAGCAGCCAUCAUUUAAAGAAAGCGUAAUAGCUCACUGGUCGAGUCGGCCUGCGCGGAAGAUGUAACGGGGCUAAACCAUGCACCGAAGCUGCGGCAGCGAACGUAUCACUUAAAGCGAUUCAGCGGGUUACGAUUGACGGAGCGAAGCGACGUCAAAGCGUAUACAAAGUCGAGUCGGUUUAAGGAUACGUUCGUUGGGUAGGGGAGCGUUCUGUAAGCCUGCGAAGGUGGCCUGUGAGGGUUGCUGGAGGUAUCAGAAGUGCGAAUGCUGACAUAAGUAACGAUAAAGCGGGUGAAAAGCCCGCUCGCCGGAAGACCAAGGGUUCCUGUCCAACGUUAAUCGGGGCAGGGUGAGUCGACCCCUAAGGCGAGGCCGAAAGGCGUAGUCGAUGGGAAACGGGUUAAUAUUCCCGUACUUGGUGUUACUGCGAAGGGGGGACGGAGAAGGCUAUGUUGGCCGGGCGACGGUUGUCCCGGUUUAAGCGUGUAGGUGUGUGUUCCAGGUAAAUCCGGUUCACUUUAACACUGAGGCGUGACGACGAGGCACUACGGUGCUGAAGCAACAAAUGCCCUGCUUCCAGGAAAAGCCUCUAAGCAUCAGGUAACAUCAAAUCGUACCCCAAACCGACACAGGUGGUCAGGUAGAGAAUACCAAGGCGCUUGAGAGAACUCGGGUGAAGGAACUAGGCAAAAUGGUGCCGUAACUUCGGGAGAAGGCACGCUGAUAUGUAGGUGAAGUGAUUUACUCAUGGAGCUGAAAUCAGUCGAAGAUACCAGCUGGCUGCAACUGUUUAUUAAAAACACAGCACUGUGCAAACACGAAAGUGGACGUAUACGGUGUGACGCCUGCCCGGUGCCGGAAGGUUAAUUGAUGGGGUCAGCGCAAGCGAAGCUCCUGAUCGAAGCCCCGGUAAACGGCGGCCGUAACUAUAACGGUCCUAAGGUAGCGAAAUUCCUUGUCGGGUAAGUUCCGACCUGCACGAAUGGCGUAAUGAUGGCCAGGCUGUCUCCACCCGAGACUCAGUGAAAUUGAACUCGCUGUGAAGAUGCAGUGUACCCGCGGCAAGACGGAAAGACCCCGUGAACCUUUACUAUAGCUUGACACUGAACAUUGAGCCUUGAUGUGUAG